Long non-coding RNA from Lolium rigidum, 664 nucleotides. RefSeq lists it as uncharacterized. Lineage: Eukaryota; Viridiplantae; Streptophyta; Magnoliopsida; Poales; Poaceae. The transcript is spliced from 3 exons. The record is from RefSeq and is a predicted model, not a curated record.
GAGUUCUGGAUUGUUAUUUAUGCAUGAGCGGGCUGCAGCACUUCUAGCCUUGUUUGCCUUCUCUAGCUCGUGUAGGUCUCUUAUUGUUGCUGCUAUCAAGUGCUCGAUUGGAUAUUGCUUACUUCAUGUCUGCUUUUUGUCGAUUGCUGGCUUGGAGAGUUGUAUGAAAAAUAAAUAAAAAAGUACAAGAUGAUAAUAAUGUUGUCUGAGUUGUAUCACUUAUGGGCAUGCAAAUAAUUGCAUCAUGUUGCACCUUGCUAUUUUCCAUUGUAGACCGAAGAUCCUGUUGGAAAUCCAGGUUGGGCAUGACUGAGCCAAGGAUCAGUGAACUUCAUAUGAUAAAGAAGCGGAAAAUUCUACGAGAUAUGACAUGCCCAGAAUUCUGCAGUGGUGCUGGAAAGAAAUGAAGAUCUCAGAAUUGCUUACAUUGAUGUUGUCGAGAGCAUUAGGAAUGGAAAGCCUAGCACUGAGUAUUACUUGAAGCUUGUUAAAUAUGACAUACAGGGAAAGGACAAGGAAUGAUGUUUCUAGCUAUACAACUAAAGAGGAAACACAGUAGAGAAGAUAAUGAGGUAGGUGAAUCAAAUGAUUGGAUGAUGUGCCCUGGGUAUGCUAUCCAUGCACCUCUGUGCAAACACCAUCUCCUUUCACUGAGCAAAGCCAA